Anolis carolinensis (green anole) is the source of this 3815-nucleotide long non-coding RNA. RefSeq lists it as uncharacterized. The transcript has 6 exons. The record is from RefSeq and is a predicted model, not a curated record. Lineage: Eukaryota; Metazoa; Chordata; Lepidosauria; Squamata; Anolidae.
AGUUGAAGUCCUAAAAAAUAAAUAAACCUGAAGUAGAUUACCGUAUGGGUGACUGAACCACUUUGGGGAGGAAGGAAGGAACAAUAAAGGGAAGAAAAGGAAAGCGAAAGGCGGAAUGUUACGAAAGAAUCAACUUCCUCUUAGGUUUGUGAGGAUACUGGCCCCAUGAAUAUGCAGAAAACAGAAUGAAGAGUAUAUAACAAGCCCUUGUAGAAGCUGAAAGCAUAAUGGUUGUUAUUCUAAAAGAUGACAUGUCAGCAGGUGGUUUUAAAAGGAAGAGGAAAGGCUCAAUCUUUCUCUUGCUUUGUGAAUCUCUUUGUUUUCACUUUCUUCUUGAUCCUGCAUCAAAGAAGUAAUUCUGCCCUUUCAAGCACCGAACUGGGAGAUCAGAUGCAAAGGCAUCCUGGUCAUAGCAAGACAUCCUCAUAAUGGAGUCGCUCUGCAUGAGAAAACCAAGCUUCAGAUCCAGAGAACUUCCAUUUACGCAGACUUUUCAGCCAGACUCUUCGGUUUCACUGGCUGGAUCUACACUGCAGAAUUAAUGCAGUUUGAUACCACUACUUAUCAAUAUUAAGGAAUCCUAGGAGUUGCAGUUUGGUGAUGCACCCUUUGGCAAAGGCGGCUAAUAACUUUGUCAAACAACUCUAACGCUUCCAUAGUAUUGAGCCACGGGAGUUAAAGUGGUUUCAAACUCGGUUACUUCAAUACUGUAGAUGUGUUCCUUGAGUCCUGAGACUUUAGAAGGGAUCUUAAGGGUAGGUAUGUAAUUUUUUUUUAUUGUGUCAGAAGUGACUUGAGAACAUACUGCAAGUCGCUUCUGGUGUGAGAGAAUUAGCCGUCUACAGAGACGUUGCCCAGGGGAUGCCCGGAUAUGAUAGCUGGAAGGCUUCUCGCAUGUGCCCACAAGCUAGAGCUGACAGAUGGGAGCUCGUCUCGCAGAUUCGAACUGGCAAUCUUCAGUUCACAAGCCAACCUUCAGGUCAGCAGUUCAGCUGGCACAAGGGUUUAACCCAUUGCUCCAUAAGGUGAAUAAUAGAAACCCAACAUUUAGAAAUGUUAAUCGAUUUCAUUUGGGAAGCUAGGUUGACCCCUCUCUUUCCUCUUGUCCAAAAGCAAUAGAAGACUUUUCUAUUUAUUCUGCCCUCAUUGCCUGAUGCAAACAUGUUUUAAUUCAGGUGUGUUCACAUUUUUAUCUCCUGACUGGCCUUUUAAAACCAGCACAAUCUGCUGCUUUGCUUUAAUUGAAUCUUGUGUUGCAAAUUGCCUUGUGUCCUGUGCAAGGAAAAAAGGCAGGACAGAACGUAAGGGAAUGCAUCAUCUUUAGGAUUUGACAAAUAAUUUGAAUACAAUAGAUCACUCCGAGGCCUCAUCUAUACUGCUAUUUCUGCUUUGAACUGAAUUAUAUGGCAGUGUAGACCAGGCAUGGGCAAACUUGGGCCCUCCGGGUGUUUUGGAUUGCAACUCCCACAAUUCCUAACAGCCUCAGGCCCUUUCCUUUUCCCCCUCAUCCGCUUCAAUCCAAAAUGCACAUCUUUUCCUCCGCAAGUGACAGGUGUUAGUUACCCAAUUCCUGUGUGCUUGAAACAAUUGUCCUAAAGGCAUCCGCAUAAAGCUACUGCUAUAAAACACAAAGGCUGGCAAUGCAGAACUAGUUGGAAAAUCUGCGUAGGGAGAGAGAGCUGCAAUUGGGAAAAAAGAAUCUUUUUCCAGGCAGCGAUUGAGAGAAAUCAUCUCACAGCUGUGAGCUAAUAGCCGAACAAUUACAACUCAGGUCACAGCUGUUGCAAGGGAGGGGUUUGCCUUCUUUUUCCUUGGCUUGAAAGGCAGCUCAAUAUUGUUGUUUCAAGCAUUAGCAUCCAGCUGCAGCUUUGCAGGUAUCACAGCAUGAUGAAUCCCAUGAGGCUGGUGACAAACGGUUCACCUGGCCUUAUAAGACAGUGUAACAAUUUCUCCUCUUGAUAUAGGGCGCAUCUACAUUGUAGAACAGGCAUGGGCAAACUUUGGCCCUCCAGGUGCUUUGGACUUCAGCUCCCACAAUUCCUAAGAGCUGGCAGAACGAAGGCAGCUUGAUGCCACUUAUACUGCCAUGGCUCAAUGCUAUGUCAUGCUGGGAUCUGCAGUUUGUUAAGGCACCAGUUCUCCUUGGCAGAGAUGGCUAAAGGAUGUCUUUGCAACUACAACUCCCAUGGAUCCUAUGCCAGGGAAACUGUGUUGAUAAUAAUGUAAAUGCCCAACAUCACCAGGACGGACAUCAAGGGCAAAUUGGUGGAAACCAUGCAAAGAUUCCUUUUUGGACUACCAUUCCCAGAACCCCCUGUGAAAAUUUCCAUGGGAAUUUCUACACGUCGAGAAAUGCUUGUUUGUUCCCCAACAUAUUAAAAAAAUUAGAUGAUGAUGAUAACUGGAGAAGCUGACAUGAUAUGAGGAUUUAAAGAUUGAAUUGCAAAGACUCUGGCACAAGCCAGUCAAGGUGGUCCCAGUGGUGAUGUGCACACUGGGUGCAGUGCCUAAAGAUCUUGGUCUGCACUUGAACACAAUUGGCGCUGACAAAAUUACCACCUGUCAGCUGCACAAGGCCACCUUCCUGGGAUUUGCACGCAUUAUUCGCCAAUACAUCACACAGUCCUAGACACUUGGGAAGUGUCCGUCGUGUGAUCCAAUACAACAGCCAGCAGAGUGUCUGCUGUGGACUCAUCUUGUUGUGUUUCGAAUAAUAAUAACAAUAAUAACAAUAAUAACAACAACAACAAUAAUAAUAAUAAUAAUAAUAAUAAUAAUAAUAAUAAUAAUAAUACCAAUACAGGUGGUCCUGGUGGUGAUCGGCACACUGGGUGCUGUGCCAAAAGAUUUCAGCCAGCAUUUGGAAACAAUAGACAUUGACAAAGUUACGAUCUGCCAACUGCAAAAGGGAUCUGUGCGCAUCAUCCAAAAAUACAUCACACUAGUCCUAGGCACUUGGGAAAUGUUCAACUUGUGAUUUUGUGAUACGAAAUCCAGCAUAUCUAUCUUGUUUGCUGUGUCAUACUAUGUCAUUGUGUCAAUAAUAAUAAUAAUAAUAAUAAUAAUAAUAAUAAUAACAACAACAACUUUAUUUUUGUAUCCUGCCUCCAUCAAUAAUAAUAAUAAUAAUAAUAAUAAUAAUAAUAAUAAUAAUAACAACAACAUCAACUUUAUUUUUGUAUCCUGCCUCCAUGGGACUCGGGAAGGCUCACAUGGGGACAAGCCUGAUCAACAUGGAUUAAAAAACAGUCAGCAAAAUUAAAACAUUGUAGCCACAUAAGACAACAUCAACAGCAAUUUAGAACCUGAGCAGUAAUAAUUACUGGAAAUUCAGAGGGUAAGAAUUUGUGCAUAGAACUUUGGGUAGGGCUUAUUUGAUGGUGUCAGUCAGUUAUAAAUCUGGUAGAAGAGCCGUAUCAAUAAAAAACACAUAGUACAAGGGACUAUGAUAAAGUGCAGUAGCUGACAGUGAGAUAUAAUUGGGGCUGAGUAACUAGUGAAACUAUUUACUCAAAGGCACACUGGAACAUUCAUGUUUUUAGGUCUUUACAGAAGGUGGUUUUUUAAAAAAUAUGGUUAUUAUUUUCAGAUGGAAGAUUCAGUCCUAAUGGGUGCAUUGGUGGGAUUUUCGGCAGUCUUGACUACACUCUAUUUGUCAGUAUAUACUUUGGUUUUCAAUGUUGGAUGGUAGGCAACGAGGACCUUCCAAAGAAUGGCAAUAACUAGAUGCUGUUGGCUUGCAACUCUGAUAAUUUCUAUCCAAAAUGCUAAAGGAUUAUGAAAGUUGAAAAUAAAAGCUGUGAAGCCCUUCUCUA